CGCGUGGGGGAGGGCUCUUGGGUUGUAAACCCCUUUUCUCUGGGAAGAACCGAUGACGGUACCAGAGGAAUCAUCAUCGGCUAACUCCGUGCCAGCAGCCGCGGUAAGACGGAGGAUGCAAGCGUUAUCCGGAAUGAUUGGGCGUAAAGCGUCCGCAGGUGGCAUGUCAAGUCUGCUGUCAAAGACCGGGGCUCAACCUCGGAAAGGCAGUGGAAACUGAACAGCUAGAGUAUGGUAAGGGCAGAGGGAAUUCCCGGUGUAGCGGUGAAAUGCGUAGAGAUCGGGAAGAACAUCGGUGGCGAAGGCGCUCUGCUGGACCAUAACUGACACUCAGGGACGAAAGCUAGGGGAGCGAAUGGGAUUAGAUACCCCCCGUAAACGAUGGAUACUAGGUGUU
This 397-nucleotide ribosomal RNA is filed under the name Microcoleus vaginatus. RNAcentral describes it as "bacterial SSU rRNA". It matches the Rfam family "Bacterial small subunit ribosomal RNA", at positions 398 to 824 of the family's 1533-position model. Lineage: Bacteria; Bacillati; Cyanobacteriota; Cyanophyceae; Oscillatoriales; Microcoleaceae. The record is from RNAcentral.